AUGGGAAGAGUCAAUCCAGCAGGUGCUGGUGGGGGUGGUGACAGAACCUGGAAGACCUCCUGGACGGAGGUGGUGGGGUGGCCGGUGCAAAACGCGGUUGUACGGAUCAAAGGCGACAGGCCCCAUGUCUCGUUCAUUGCCGGCGGUACAGGCGGCCAAUGGCCGCCGGGCCAUAACCCCUCACGCGUCGUCGUCCUCUCCAAUGAUGCUGGCGUCGUUGUGAAGACCCCACCGUCGGCUAGCUCAACCUCUCUCAACUGGCAGGGCUGCUUACUAGCUCCAUGCACAACGUUGUUGUGUUGUACUUGUGCCCACUAG
Molecule: ribosomal RNA, 318 nt
Filed under: Triticum aestivum (bread wheat)
Lineage: Eukaryota; Viridiplantae; Streptophyta; Magnoliopsida; Poales; Poaceae
Description: partial small subunit ribosomal RNA
Source: RNAcentral